RNAcentral lists this ribosomal RNA (253 nucleotides) under uncultured bacterium. Its description in RNAcentral is "partial 16S ribosomal RNA". It matches the Rfam family "Bacterial small subunit ribosomal RNA", at positions 524 to 776 of the family's 1533-position model. The record is from RNAcentral.
UACAGAGGGUGCGAGCGUUGUUCGGAUUUACUGGGCGUAAAGGGCGCGUAGGCGGCCUAUCAAGUCAGAUGUGAAAGCCCACGGCUCAACCGUGGAAGUGCAUCUGAAACUGGCAGGCUUGAGUACUGGAGGGGAGUGUGGAAUUCCCGGUGUAGAGGUGAAAUUCGUAGAUAUCGGGAGGAAUACCGGUGGCGAAGGCGACACUCUGGACAGAUACUGACGCUGAGGCGCGAAAGCGUGGGGAGCAAACAGG